UGGGGAAUAUUGCACAAUGGGCGAAAGCCUGAUGCAGCGACGCCGCGUGAGGGAUGACGGCCUUCGGGUUGUAAACCUCUUUCAGUAGGGAACAAGGCCAGACGUUGUCUGGUUGAGGGUACUUGCAGAAGAAGCGCCGGCUAACUACGUGCCAGCAGCCGCGGUAAUACGUAGGGCGCAAGCGUUAUCCGGAAUUAUUGGGCGUAAAGAGCUCGUAGGCGGUUUGUCGCGUCUGCCGUGAAAGUCCGGGGCUCAACCCCGGAUCUGCGGUGGGUACGGGCAGACUAGAGUGAUGUAGGGGAGACUGGAAUUCCUGGUGUAGCGGUGAAAUGCGCAGAUAUCAGGAGGAACACCGAUGGCGAAGGCAGGUCUCUGGGCAUUAACUGACGCUGAGGAGCGAAAGCAUGGGGAGCGAACAGG
This 420-nucleotide ribosomal RNA is filed under the name uncultured bacterium. RNAcentral's name for it is "bacterial SSU rRNA". It matches the Rfam family "Bacterial small subunit ribosomal RNA", at positions 355 to 776 of the family's 1533-position model. The record is from RNAcentral.